Molecule: ribosomal RNA, 794 nt
Filed under: uncultured bacterium
Lineage: Bacteria
Description: bacterial SSU rRNA
Rfam family: Bacterial small subunit ribosomal RNA
Source: RNAcentral
AGGGUUUGAUCAUGGCUCAGAUUGAACGCUGGCGGCAUGCCUUACACAUGCAAGUCGAACGGCAGCACGGGGGCAACCCUGGUGGCGAGUGGCGAACGGGUGAGUAAUACAUCGGAACGUGUCCUGUAGUGGGGGAUAGCCCGGCGAAAGCCGGAUUAAUACCGCAUACGAUCUACGGAAGAAAGCGGGGGAUCUUCGGACCUCGCGCUAUAGGGGCGGCCGAUGGCAGAUUAGCUAGUUGGUGGGGUAAAGGCCUACCAAGGCGACGAUCUGUAGCUGGUCUGAGAGGACGACCAGCCACACUGGGACUGAGACACGGCCCAGACUCCUACGGGAGGCAGCAGUGGGGAAUUUUGGACAAUGGGGGCAACCCUGAUCCAGCAAUGCCGCGUGUGUGAAGAAGGCCUUCGGGUUGUAAAGCACUUUUGUCCGGAAAGAAAACGUCUUGGUUAAUACCCGGGGCGGAUGACGGUACCGGAAGAAUAAGCACCGGCUAACUACGUGCCAGCAGCCGCGGUAAUACGUAGGGUGCGAGCGUUAAUCGGAAUUACUGGGCGUAAAGCGUGCGCAGGCGGUCUGUUAAGACCGAUGUGAAAUCCCCGGGCUUAACCUGGGAACUGCAUUGGUGACUGGCAGGCUUUGAGUGUGGCAGAGGGGGGUAGAAUUCCACGUGUAGCAGUGAAAUGCGUAGAGAUGUGGAGGAAUACCGAUGGCGAAGGCAGCCCCCUGGGCCAACACUGACGCUCAUGCACGAAAGCGUGGGGAGCAAACAGGAUUAGAUACCCUAGUAGUCC